GUCGUCAAAUACCGUAUUUGACGACUCCCUGUUCAAAACGCAUUCAAAACAACAGCAUGCACGUUUGGUUUACGUCAAGAGUCAGUCCAAUGAAAAAUAUUGGGUUUGUUGUAUCGUGUUCCUUAUCUGAUGAGUUCGGAGGAGGAUAAAUUUGGUGCUCUUCGAGAGGCUGCUACGAAGCUUCUAGCCUGCCAGAUCCACCAGCUCCCCUGUCGCGAAGGAGACAGAGGCUUUCAUAUUUGGACUCAGGGAGUGAUUGUCCAAAUUGUCGACAAUGGAAAUCAAGUGACGAUUGAUGAUGGCACUGGGCUGGUGAUUAUAAUGGGACUUCAUGCUCUGAUUACGGGCGAGUCCUGGCUAGAGCUAGGUAAAUACGUCAUGAUCACGGGACACGUGAUGCACGCUCCAAGUACAGAAGGUGAUGCAGCAUCGGUGAUGACAACGAAGAUCGCCGACCUGUCCGCGGACGCCAACUGCGAAGUACUCUGGUGGCUUGAGGUGAUGGACAUACAGCUGCGGCUGGGAGACGCUUCUGCAGACUACUAGCAUGCUAAGUGCUGGCUAGCAGCUUCUGUACAAUGCUGUGUUACUGUGAGUGCACCACUGGUACAGCCAUCUACCUGCAUACUACAUGUAGUGUGCAGCGCUGCUCAAUGAAAUCCGAUAUUGUGAGCCCAGUACGUGCCGGGUGCUGUGCAGCCCUAGGCCCUACCUGCAAACAAUGGGAUGUGAAGUGGUGCAGGGUGCAAACUCGACUCACACGAUUGGAUUCCAUUGGGCAGCACUGUACACGCAGCGUACGUCCCGUAGCGCUCUGGAUCGCAUAUUCGUUUAAAAUAGGAGAUGUAGUGUCUACAAUUUGAAGCUGGGCAUGUUGUUGUGUGAUUAUUCAGUGGUGUGAUAUGUGGCCAGUGCCCCAUGUAUUAAUUGUAUAUGCACAGUACAUUUGUGUGUGUGUGCCACCGGUGACCCGAACAUGUUUGCACAUCCAUAGACCUAUACUCACAGUCACUGUAUAGUUAAACUGUUUUCACUAGCGCAGACCUCUUUGGCAAGUCGUGGCUUUUAUUUGCCUUUAUCAGCGCAUGCCGACCAUGUUGACCGUUGGCCAUUCACUGAAAUCUUUUCUUCUUCUUUCUGUGACGUCUUGUGUACAUGGCGUCAGUAUGAUGUGUGCUCACUGCUUAUAGCUACACGUUCCCUACAACAUUACCAAAUAAGAAGAUCUUUAUUGUACUUUUGCUUGUACAGUUCAUUCUCUCAUAUCAUCGAGUUCCUAGUGACUAUAGUUACGCUUUUGAAUACCGUAAUCAUCACCACGAGCUUUA
Molecule: long non-coding RNA, 1328 nt
Organism: Sycon ciliatum
Lineage: Eukaryota; Metazoa; Porifera; Calcarea; Leucosolenida; Sycettidae
Exons: 2
Source: RefSeq, a predicted model, not a curated record